RNAcentral lists this ribosomal RNA (745 nucleotides) under Lactococcus sp. HXF0051. RNAcentral describes it as "bacterial SSU rRNA". It matches the Rfam family "Bacterial small subunit ribosomal RNA", at positions 64 to 794 of the family's 1533-position model. Lineage: Bacteria; Bacillati; Bacillota; Bacilli; Lactobacillales; Streptococcaceae. The record is from RNAcentral.
GCGCUGAAGGUUGGUACUUGUACCGACUGGAUGAGCAGCGAACGGGUGAGUAACGCGUGGGGAAUCUGCCUUUGAGCGGGGGACAACAUUUGGAAACGAAUGCUAAUACCGCAUAAAAACUUUAAACACAAGUUUUAAGUUUGAAAGAUGCAAUUGCAUCACUCAAAGAUGAUCCCGCGUUGUAUUAGCUAGUUGGUGAGGUAAAGGCUCACCAAGGCGAUGAUACAUAGCCGACCUGAGAGGGUGAUCGGCCACAUUGGGACUGAGACACGGCCCAAACUCCUACGGGAGGCAGCAGUAGGGAAUCUUCGGCAAUGGACGAAAGUCUGACCGAGCAACGCCGCGUGAGUGAAGAAGGUUUUCGGAUCGUAAAACUCUGUUGGUAGAGAAGAACGUUGGUGAGAGUGGAAAGCUCAUCAAGUGACGGUAACUACCCAGAAAGGGACGGCUAACUACGUGCCAGCAGCCGCGGUAAUACGUAGGUCCCGAGCGUUGUCCGGAUUUAUUGGGCGUAAAGCGAGCGCAGGUGGUUUAUUAAGUCUGGUGUAAAAGGCAGUGGCUCAACCAUUGUAUGCAUUGGAAACUGGUAGACUUGAGUGCAGGAGAGGAGAGUGGAAUUCCAUGUGUAGCGGUGAAAUGCGUAGAUAUAUGGAGGAACACCGGUGGCGAAAGCGGCUCUCUGGCCUGUAACUGACACUGAGGCUCGAAAGCGUGGGGAGCAAACAGGAUUUAGAUACCUGGUAGU